GAUGAACGCUGGCGGCGUGCCUAAUACAUGCAAGUCGAGCGAACAGAUGAGGAGCUUGCUCCUCUGACGUUAGCGGCGGACGGGUGAGUAACACGUGGAUAACCUACCUAUAAGACUGGGAUAACUUCGGGAAACCGGAGCUAAUACCGGAUAAUAUAUUGAACCGCAUGGUUCAAUAGUGAAAGACGGUUUUGCUGUCACUUAUAGAUGGAUCCGCGCUGCAUUAGCUAGUUGGUAAGGUAACGGCUUACCAAGGCAACGAUGCAUAGCCGACCUGAGAGGGGUAAUCGCCACACUGGGACUUGAGCACGGGCCCAGCUCCCUCGGGGGGGAAGAAGUGGGGAACUUCCGGAAUGGGCCGAAAGCUUGCCGAGCCACCGCCGGGUGGGUGUUGAGGGUCUUGGGAUGGAAAACCCUUGUAAUAGGGAAAAAAAUAAUGUGAAAGUACUUAUGACCGUCUUGCGGGUCCUUAACAAGAAAGCCCCGGUUACUUACGG
Molecule: ribosomal RNA, 497 nt
Filed under: uncultured bacterium
Lineage: Bacteria
Description: partial 16S ribosomal RNA
Rfam family: Bacterial small subunit ribosomal RNA
Source: RNAcentral